UGUUUCGGCUAGGGGGUCAUCCCGACUUACCAACCCGAUGCAAACUACGAAUACCGAAGAAUGUUAUCACGGGAGACACACGGCGGGUGCUAACGUCCGUCGUGAAGAGGGAAACAACCCAGACCGCCAGCUAAGGUCCCAAAGUCAUGGUUAAGUGGGAAACGAUGUGGGAAGGCACAGACAGCCAGGAUGUUGGCUUAGAAGCAGCCAUCAUUUAAAGAAAGCGUAAUAGCUCACUGGUCGAGUCGGCCUGCGCGGAAGAUGUAACGGGGCUAAACCAUGCACCGAAGCUGCGGCAGCGACACUAUGUGUUGUUGGGUAGGGGAGCGUUCUGUAAGCCUGCGAAGGUGUG
This 352-nucleotide ribosomal RNA is filed under the name Klebsiella pneumoniae. RNAcentral describes it as "partial 23S ribosomal RNA". It matches the Rfam family "Bacterial large subunit ribosomal RNA", at positions 911 to 1260 of the family's 2925-position model. Lineage: Bacteria; Pseudomonadati; Pseudomonadota; Gammaproteobacteria; Enterobacterales; Enterobacteriaceae. The record is from RNAcentral. RNAcentral also lists the same sequence under 1 other name.